AAACGACUCUCGGCAACGGAUAUCUCGGCCCUCGCAUCGAUGAAGAACGUAGCGAAAUGCGAUACUUGGUGUGAAUUGCAGAAUCCCGUGAACCGUCGAGUCUUUGAACGCAAGUUGCGCCCCAAGCCUUCUGGCCGAGGGCACGUCUGCCUGGGUGUCACAA
This 163-nucleotide ribosomal RNA is filed under the name Brassica napus (rape). RNAcentral describes it as "5.8S ribosomal RNA". It matches the Rfam family "5.8S ribosomal RNA". From Rfam's summary of the family: 5.8S ribosomal RNA (5.8S rRNA) is a component of the large subunit of the eukaryotic ribosome. It is transcribed by RNA polymerase I as part of the 45S precursor that also contains 18S and 28S rRNA. Lineage: Eukaryota; Viridiplantae; Streptophyta; Magnoliopsida; Brassicales; Brassicaceae. The record is from RNAcentral.